GACGAACGCUGGCGGCGUGCCCAAUACAUGCAAGUAGAACGCUGAAGGAGGAGCUUGCUUCUCUGGAUGAGUUGCGAACGGGUGAGUAACGCGUAGGUAACCUGCCUGGUAGCGGGGGAUAACUAUUGGAAACGAUAGCUAAUACCGCAUAAUAGUAGAUGUUGCAUGACAUUUGCUUAAAAGGUGCAAUUGCAUCACUACCAGAUGGACCUGCGUUGUAUUAGCUAGUUGGUGGGGUAACGGCUCACCAAGGCGACGAUACAUAGCCGACCUGAGAGGGUGAUCGGCCACACUGGGACUGAGACACGGCCCAGACUCCUACGGGAGGCAGCAGUAGGGAAUCUUCGGCAAUGGACGGAAGUCUGACCGAGCAACGCCGCGUGAGUGAAGAAGGUUUUCGGAUCGUAAAGCUCUGUUGUAAGAGAAGAACGAGUGUGAGAGUGGAAAGUUCACACUGUGACGGUAUCUUACCAGAAAGGGACGGCUAACUACGUG
This 495-nucleotide ribosomal RNA is filed under the name uncultured bacterium. Its description in RNAcentral is "partial 16S ribosomal RNA". It matches the Rfam family "Bacterial small subunit ribosomal RNA", at positions 28 to 507 of the family's 1533-position model. The record is from RNAcentral.